UGAUCCAGCCAUGCCGCGUGGGUGAAGAAGGCCUUCGGGUUGUAAAGCCCUUUUGUUGGGAAGGAAAGCCUNUCGGUUAAUACCCGGUNGGNNUGACGUUACCCAAAGAAUAAGCACCGGCUAACUCCGUGCCAGCAGCCGCGGUAAUACGNAGGGUGCAAGCGUUAAUCGGAAUUACUGGGCGUAAAGCGUGCGUAGGUGGUUNUUUAAGUCNGAUGUGAAAUCCCCGGGCUCAACCUGGGAACUGCAUUNGAAACUGGCNGGCUAGAGUGUGGUAGAGGGGGGUGGAAUUCCCGGUGUAGCGGUGAAAUGCGUAGAGAUCNGGAGGAACACCCGUGGCGAAGGCGGCCCCCUGGACCAACACUGACACU
This 371-nucleotide ribosomal RNA is filed under the name gamma proteobacterium SCGC AAA024-O13. Its description in RNAcentral is "partial 16S small subunit ribosomal RNA". It matches the Rfam family "Bacterial small subunit ribosomal RNA", at positions 384 to 747 of the family's 1533-position model. The record is from RNAcentral. Lineage: Bacteria; Pseudomonadati; Pseudomonadota; Gammaproteobacteria.